UCUAAAGGUGAAUGGGUAGUAGUAGUAGUUCUAGAAACCUAAAAUUUUUGGCGGUUUUUUAGGCUAGUCAGAGGAACCUGUCCUUUAAUAGAUAUUCCACUAUUUAGUUUAGCUUCCUUAAAUUGUAUGUAUACCGCCGUCGUAAAGUAAUUUUUAUAGAAAUUAUUGAGUAGUGGGUAUUUAAGGGAUGACAGGUCAAGGUGUAGCUGAUGGGGGAGGGUGAGAUGGGUUACAAUAAUAUAUUAUUAACGGAUAGCAAUUAGGCGAAAGUUUAAUGUUUGAAGGUGGAUUUGAAAGUAAGUUGGGAUUAGGAUGUUCGGUUGGUUAGAGCUCUGGGAAAUGU
This 343-nucleotide ribosomal RNA is filed under the name Damon variegatus. RNAcentral describes it as "partial 12S ribosomal RNA". Lineage: Eukaryota; Metazoa; Arthropoda; Arachnida; Amblypygi; Phrynichidae. The record is from RNAcentral.